This 228-nucleotide long non-coding RNA is filed under the name Elaeis guineensis (African oil palm). RNAcentral describes it as "long non-coding RNA (EGUI_LNC070312)". The record is from RNAcentral. Lineage: Eukaryota; Viridiplantae; Streptophyta; Magnoliopsida; Arecales; Arecaceae.
AUAGCUCGUGAAGGAUAUGGGUAUAAGUGUCUCUUCGACCUAAGAUCACCAUAGUGACUUGCAAGCAACUCACCGCGCUUUGGUACCGAACUAUCUGAAUUUUUAAUUCAGUAAUGAAAGAUUUCUGAGUGAAGGAGGAAAACUGCUUUUCCUCGUAGGAUCUUCCAGAUUUCACCAAAUCUGGGGUGGAAUAAAUUUAAAAAAUUUUAUCCUACAUUUAUUUCAGAU